UUUUUGUUUGGAGAGUUUGAUUCUGGCUCAGGACGAACGCUGGCGGCGUGCUUAACACAUGCAAGUCGAACGGAAAGGCCCCUUUGGGGGUGCUCGAGUGGCGAACGGGUGAGUAACACGUGGGUGAUCUGCCCUGCACUUUGGGAUAAGCCUGGGAAACUGGGUCUAAUACCGAAUACACCUUGCUGGUCGCAUGGCCUGGUGGGGGAAAGCUUUUGCGGUGUGGGAU
RNAcentral lists this ribosomal RNA (229 nucleotides) under Mycolicibacterium flavescens. RNAcentral describes it as "partial 16S ribosomal RNA". It matches the Rfam family "Bacterial small subunit ribosomal RNA", at positions 1 to 226 of the family's 1533-position model. The record is from RNAcentral. Lineage: Bacteria; Bacillati; Actinomycetota; Actinomycetes; Mycobacteriales; Mycobacteriaceae.